This 253-nucleotide ribosomal RNA is filed under the name uncultured bacterium. RNAcentral's name for it is "partial 16S ribosomal RNA". It matches the Rfam family "Bacterial small subunit ribosomal RNA", at positions 524 to 776 of the family's 1533-position model. The record is from RNAcentral.
GACAGAGGUGCCGAGCGUUAGGCGGAAUCACUGGGCUUAAAGCGUGUGUAGGCGGGCGAUCAAGUACCUUGUGAAAUCCCACGGCUCAACCGUGGAACCGCUGGGUAUACUGGUUGUCUUGAGCCGGCUAGGGGCGAGCGGAACAGACGGUGGAGCGGUGAAAUGCGUAGAUAUCACUUGGAACGCCAAUGGUGAAAACAGCUCGCUGGGGGUGUGCUGACGCUGAGACACGAAAGCCAGGGGAGCAAACGGG